AUGGCCUCCACCGGCGAGCACACGGUGGCCCUGCUUGCCGGCCUUCCCGCCGAGGCGGCGGAGGCGUACACCACCGACGGGUCCCUUGAUUUCGACGGGAACCCGGCGCUCAAGAAUCGCACGGGUGGAUGGCGCGCGUGCCGCUCAAUUCUCGGCACCGAGUUCUGCUACUGCCUGGCCUUCCACGGCAUCUCCUUCAACCUCGUCACGUACCUCACGACCGUCCUGGGCCAGAGCAACGUCGCGGCGGCGAGGAACGUGUCCACCUGGCAGGCCACCUGCUUCCUCAUGCCUCUCGGCGGCGCCGUCGUCGCAGACUCCUACUGCGGAAGGUACCGCACCAUGGUCGUCUCCUGCUUCAUCGGCGUCGCAGGGAUGCUGAUGACAGCUCUCUCAGCGUACCUGCCGCUGCUCGUCAAGAACAUCGUGUCGUCCAACAUUGUGCCGUCUCAGGAAUUCGUCUUGUUUCUCGGCCUCUACAUGAUCGCCAUUGGCUUGGGCGGCCUCCGGCCGUGCCUCAUGUCCUUCGGCGCCGACCAGUUCGACGACGGCGAUCCGUCGGAGCGCGCCACCAAGGGCUCCUUCUUCAACUGGUACAUAUUCAACAUGAACUGCGCGUCGCUCAUAUCCAGCACGGCCAUCGUGUGGGUGCAGGAUCACUGCGGCUGGGCACUGGGCCUCACCAUCCCAGCGGUCGUCCUGGCCGCCGGCCUGUCUUGCCUGGUUGCGGCGUUGCGGACGUAUAGAUUUCAGCGUACCCGCGGCAGCCCGCUCAUCCGAGUGUGCCAGGUCGUCGUCGCUGCCGUGAGAAAGUGCGGCAUCGAGCUUCCGGCCGAUAGCUCUCUGCUCUACGGCAUGCUGGAGGACGGCCUCGCCGGAGUUCCGAGGAUCGAUCACACCACCGAUCUCCGAUUCUUCGACAAGGCCGCCAUUCUCGUGGCUUCGGACAAGGAGGUGGAGGCGGCAGCCGCGCCAGCGCGGACCAGCCCGUGGAGACUCUGCGUCGUCACGCAGGUCGAGGAGUUCAAGAUUCUCGUGAGGAUGCUGCCGCUCUGGGCGUCCGCCGUGUUCUUCUAUGCCGUGUCGGCGCAGGUCACGUCGACAUUCGUCGAGCAAGGCAUGGCGAUGGACGCCACCGUCGGCUCCGUGCGCGUCCCGCCGGCAUCCAUGUCCACCUUCGAUAUACUCACCAUCAUCCUCCUGGUCCCGCUCUACGACCGGGCUUUCGUUCCGGCUGCCAGGAGGCUCACCGGGAGGGAGAAAGGCAUCUCGGAGCUGCAGAGGAUCGGUGCCGGACUCGCCAUGCCCGUGCUCGCGAUGGCCUCUGCAGCGCUUCUAGAGACGGCGCGCCUCCGUGCUGCGCCAAACUCGACGAGCGUGCUAUGGCAGGCGCCGCAGUACGCGCUGAUGGGCGUGGGCGAGGUGCUCACCACCAUCGGGCAGCUCGACUUCUUCUACGGCCAAGCGCCGGCCGCGAUGAAGACCGUGUGCACGGCGCUCGGGCUCCUUGCAAUAGCGGCCGGCGGCUACCUUAGCUCGUUCCUACUGACGACCGUGCAAUGGGCGACGGCGACUGGCGGCGCGCCGGGGUGGAUCCCCGACGACCUGAACGAGGGUCACCUGGAUCGCUUCUUCUGGAUGAUGGCCGGACUUGGUUGCCUCAAUCUGAUAGCGUUCGGGAGCUGCGCCAGGAAGUACAAAUCCAGGAAGGGUUGA
This 1716-nucleotide ribosomal RNA is filed under the name Triticum aestivum (bread wheat). RNAcentral's name for it is "partial small subunit ribosomal RNA". Lineage: Eukaryota; Viridiplantae; Streptophyta; Magnoliopsida; Poales; Poaceae. The record is from RNAcentral.